RNAcentral lists this ribosomal RNA (253 nucleotides) under uncultured bacterium. Its description in RNAcentral is "partial 16S ribosomal RNA". It matches the Rfam family "Bacterial small subunit ribosomal RNA", at positions 524 to 776 of the family's 1533-position model. The record is from RNAcentral.
UACAGAGGGUGCGAGCGUUAAUCGGAAUUACUGGGCGUAAAGCGCGCGUAGGCGGCUUUGCAAGUCGGGUGUGAAAUCCCCAGGCUUAACCUGGGAACUGCAUUCGAGACUGCAUUGCUAGAGUAUGGGAGAGGGAAGUGGAAUUUCCGGUAUAGCGGUGAAAUGCGUAGAUAUCGGAAGGAACAUCAGUGGCGAAAGCGACUUCCUGGACCAAUACUGACGCUCAUGUGCGAAAGCGUGGGGAGCAAACAGG